Molecule: ribosomal RNA, 252 nt
Filed under: uncultured bacterium
Lineage: Bacteria
Description: partial 16S ribosomal RNA
Rfam family: Bacterial small subunit ribosomal RNA
Source: RNAcentral
ACGUAGGAUGCAAGCGUUGUCCGGAUUUACUGGGCGUAAAGGGUGUGUAGGCGGCAUGUUAAGUCUCAUGUGAAAUCUCCCGGCUCAACUGGGAGCGGUCAUGGGAAACUGGCAAGCUUGAGGGCAGCAGAGGAAAGCGGAAUUCCGGGAGUAGUGGUGGAAUGCGUAGAUACCCGGAGGAACACCAGAGGCGAAGGCGGCUUUCUGGGCUGUGCCUGACGCUGAGACACGAAAGCGUGGGGAGCAAACCGG